CAGUCGCCGCGGUAAUGCGAAGGGUGCAAGCGUUAAUCGGAAUUACUGGGCGUAAAGCGUGCGUAGGCGGUUUGUUAAGUCUGUUGUGAAAUCCCCGGGCUCAACCUGGGAAUGGCAAUGGAUACUGGCAAGCUAGAGUGUGUCAGAGGAUGGUGGAAUUCCCGGUGUAGCGGUGAAAUGCGUAGAGAUCGGGAGGAACAUCAGUGGCGAAGGCGGCCAUCUGGGACAACACUGACGCUGAGGCACGAAAGCGUGGGGAGCAAACAGGAUUAGAUACCCCCGUAGUCCCUGUCUCUUAUAC
Molecule: ribosomal RNA, 301 nt
Filed under: uncultured bacterium
Lineage: Bacteria
Description: partial 16S ribosomal RNA
Rfam family: Bacterial small subunit ribosomal RNA
Source: RNAcentral